This 517-nucleotide ribosomal RNA is filed under the name uncultured bacterium. RNAcentral describes it as "partial 16S ribosomal RNA". It matches the Rfam family "Bacterial small subunit ribosomal RNA", at positions 28 to 523 of the family's 1533-position model. The record is from RNAcentral.
GACGAACUCUGGCGGCGUGCCUAAUACAUGCAAGUCGAGCGGACCGGAUUGGGGCUUGCCUUGAUUCGGUCAGCGGCGGACGGGUGAGUAACACGUGGGCAACCUGCCCGCAAGACCGGGAUAACUCCGGGAAACCGGAGCUAAUACCGGAUAACACCGAAGACCGCAUGGUCUUCGGUUGAAAGGCGGCCUUUGGGCUGUCACUUGCGGAUGGGCCCGCGGCGCAUUAGCGAGUUGGUGAGGUAACGGCUCACCAAGGCGACGAUGCGUAGCCGGCCUGAGCGGGUGACCGGCCCCACUGGGACUGAGACACGGCCCAGACUCCUACGGGAGGCGGCAGUAGGGAAUCUUCCGCAAUGGGCGAAAGCCUGACGGAGCGACGCCGCGUGAGCGAAGAAGGCCUUCGGGUCGUAAAGCUCUGUUGUGAGGGACGAAGGAGCGCCGCUCGAAGAGGGCGGCGCGGUGACGGUACCUCACGAGAAAGCCCCGGCUAACUACGUGCCAGCCGCCGCCGUAA